UACGUAGGGUGCAAGCGUUAAUCGGAAUUACUGGGCGUAAAGCGUGCGCAGGCGGUGAUGUAAGACAGAUGUGAAAUCCCCGGGCUCAACCUGGGAACUGCAUUUGUGACUGCAUCGCUGGAGUACGGCAGAGGGGGAUGGAAUUCCGCGUGUAGCAGUGAAAUGCGUAGAUAUGCGGAGGAACACCGAUGGCGAAGGCAAUCCCCUGGCCUGUACUGACGCUCAUGCACGAAAGCGUGGGGAGCAAACAGG
RNAcentral lists this ribosomal RNA (252 nucleotides) under uncultured bacterium. RNAcentral describes it as "partial 16S ribosomal RNA". It matches the Rfam family "Bacterial small subunit ribosomal RNA", at positions 524 to 776 of the family's 1533-position model. The record is from RNAcentral.